GUGGUUGGAUGUGGGAGUUUGCUGGCCUCUUAAAAAAGGUCUUGGCUCUCCUGAAAUACAUUAGCAGAACAACCCUGUUCAUUGGUGUGAUAACUAUCUACGCUAUUGAAUGUGAAGGGCAGUUUGGCUUUCUAACAGUCCUUGGACAAGCUCAUCAUUAAUGUGACCUCAAAUCAGGUAGGACUACCCGCUGAACUUAA
This 200-nucleotide unclassified non-coding RNA is filed under the name soil metagenome. Its description in RNAcentral is "partial contains internal transcribed spacer 2 and large subunit ribosomal RNA". The record is from RNAcentral.